RNAcentral lists this transfer RNA (75 nucleotides) under Allomuricauda sp. RNAcentral describes it as "tRNA-His". It matches the Rfam family "tRNA". From Rfam's summary of the family: Transfer RNA (tRNA) molecules are approximately 80 nucleotides in length. Their secondary structure includes four short double-helical elements and three loops (D, anti-codon, and T loops). Further hydrogen bonds mediate the characteristic L-shaped molecular structure. tRNAs have two regions of fundamental functional importance: the anti-codon, which is responsible for specific mRNA codon recognition, and the 3' end, to which the tRNAs corresponding amino acid is attached (by aminoacyl-tRNA synthetases). tRNAs cope with the degeneracy of the genetic code in two manners: having more than one tRNA (with a specific anti-codon) for a particular amino acid; and 'wobble' base-pairing, i.e. permitting non-standard base-pairing at the 3rd anti-codon position. Lineage: Bacteria; Pseudomonadati; Bacteroidota; Flavobacteriia; Flavobacteriales; Flavobacteriaceae. RNAcentral also lists the same sequence under 5 other names. The record is from RNAcentral.
GUGGUUGUAGCUCAGUUGGUUAGAGCGCUGGAUUGUGGUUCCAGAGGUCGCCGGUUCGAACCCGGUCUUCCACCC